CCUACGGGUGGCAGCAGUGGGGAAUAUUGGGCACUGGGCGCAAGCCUGACCCCGCAACGCCGCGUGAAGGAAGAAGGCUUUCGGGUUGUAAACUUCUUUUGUCAGGGAAGAGUAGAAGACGGUACCUGACGAAUAAGCCACGGCUAACUACGUGCCAGCAGCCGCGGUAAUACGUAGGGUGCAAGCGUUUUCCGGAUUUACUGGGUGUAAAGGGCGUGUAGCCGGGUUGACAAGUCAGAUGUGAAAUCCUGCGGCUUAACCGCAGAACUGCAUUUGAAACUGUUGAUCUUGAGUACUGGAGAGGCAGACGGAAUUCCUAGUGUAGCGGUGAAAUGCGUAGAUAUUAGGAGGAACACCAGUGGCGAAGGCGGUCUGCUGGACAGCAACUGACGGUGAGGCGCGAAAGCGUGGGGAGCAAACAGGAUUAGAUACCCCUGUAGUC
Molecule: ribosomal RNA, 442 nt
Filed under: uncultured bacterium
Lineage: Bacteria
Description: partial 16S ribosomal RNA
Rfam family: Bacterial small subunit ribosomal RNA
Source: RNAcentral